RNAcentral lists this ribosomal RNA (329 nucleotides) under uncultured eukaryote. RNAcentral describes it as "partial 18S ribosomal RNA". It matches the Rfam family "Eukaryotic small subunit ribosomal RNA", at positions 1470 to 1795 of the family's 1831-position model. The record is from RNAcentral.
CCCUUAGAUGUUCUGGGCCGCACGCGCGCUACACUGAUGCAUUCAACGAGUCUAAAACCUGCUCUGAUAGGGGUGGGUAAUCUUUUGAAUGUGCAUCGUGAUUGGGAUAGAUGAUUGCAAUUUUUCAUCUUCAACGAGGAAUGCCUAGUAAACGCAAGUCAUCAGCUUGCAUUGAUUACGUCCCUGCCCUUUGUACACACCGCCCGUCGCUCCUACCGAUUGAAUGAUCCGAUGAAUAUCAUAGACUGAGAGUAUAAGCAGGUUCGCCUGUCUUUGCUUCUCGGGAAGUGAAGUAAAUCUUAUCAUUUAGAGGAAGGAGAAGUCGUAAC